Acanthosepion pharaonis is the source of this 86-nucleotide non-coding RNA. The record is from the annotation of a GenBank genome assembly. Lineage: Eukaryota; Metazoa; Mollusca; Cephalopoda; Sepiida; Sepiidae.
UUCUUGUACGAUCACUGAGGUUAAGCAAUGUCGAGUCUGGUCAGUAAUUAGAUGGGUGACCGCUUGGGAAUACCAGGUGCUGUAAG